AGUGAACGCUGGCGGUAGGCCUAACACAUGCAAGUCGAACGGCAGCACAGUAAGAGCUUGCUCUUACGGGUGGCGAGUGGCGGACGGGUGAGGAAUACAUCGGAAUCUACUUUUUCGUGGGGGAUAACGUAGUGAAACUUACGCUAAUACCGCAUACGACCUACGGGUGAAAGCAGGGGAUCUUCGGACCUUUCGCGAUUGAAUGAGCCGCUGUCGGAUUAGCUAGUUGGCGGGGUAAUGGCCCACCAAGGCGACGAUCCGUAGCUGGUCUGAGAGGAUGAUCGUCGACCUUGGAACGCGAACAAGGUCCAGACUACUACGGGAGGAAGCAGUGGGGAAAAUUAGACAAUGGGCGCAAGCCUGAUCCAGCCAUACCGCGUGGGUAAAGAAGACCUUCGGGUUGUAAAGCCCUUUUGUUGGGAAAGAAAAGCAGCAGGUUAAUACGCCGCUGUUCUGACGGUACCCAAAGAAUAAGCACCGGCUAACUUCGUG
This 492-nucleotide ribosomal RNA is filed under the name uncultured bacterium. RNAcentral's name for it is "partial 16S ribosomal RNA". It matches the Rfam family "Bacterial small subunit ribosomal RNA", at positions 29 to 507 of the family's 1533-position model. The record is from RNAcentral.